Molecule: ribosomal RNA, 490 nt
Filed under: uncultured bacterium
Lineage: Bacteria
Description: bacterial SSU rRNA
Rfam family: Bacterial small subunit ribosomal RNA
Source: RNAcentral
GAUCCUGGCUCAGGAUGAACGCUGGCGGCGUGCAUAACACAUUCAAGUCGAACGGUGAAGUCCCUUCGGGGACGGAACAGUGGCGGACGGGUGAGUAACGCGUGAGCAACCUGCCAUACAGUGGGGGAUAACACAGGGAAACUUGUGCUAAUACCGCAUGACACAUCGGGAUCGCAUGGUUUUUGAUGUCAAAGAGCAAUUGCUGUAUGAUGGGCUCGCGUAUGAUUAGACAGUUGGCAGGGUAACGGCCUACCAAAUCAACGAUCAUUAGCCGAACUGAGAGGUUGAACGGCCACAUUGGAACUGAGAAACGGUCCAGACUCCUACGGGAGGCAGCAGUGGGGAAUAUUGGGCAAUGGGCGAAAGCCUGAACCCCAGCGACGCCGCGUGAGGGAAGAAGGUCUUCGGAUUGUAAACCUCUUUCAGCAGGGAAGAAGGAAGUGACGGUACCUGCAGAAGAAGUCACGGCUAACUACGUGCCAGCCGCCGC